AGCACAUGACAGCAAGUUUGGAGGCAGCCUGGUGAGCAGCCAAGAGCAGCAGUGGUUACGCCUAGGGAAGAGCAUGAGUUAGAACAUCAGCAUUACUUCUUUCCAGCCAUGGGAGCUUGGGCUGGUAAGUUUACCUUCCCAAGCCUCAGUCUCCUGAUCUCUAAAAUGAGAAUAAUCAUAAAAUGGGCCUCAAAGAAUUGUUAAAGGAUUGAAUGAACUUCUUAUGUCAUGCCUGGCAUAUUUGGCACUCAGUAAAUGGGAGCUACCUAUCAUCUCAGAGGAGAGUGCUUAGCCCUUAAGUUGCUCUUUUUAAGCUCGGGCACAUUCACUCACUCAUUGUAUCCUCCCAGAUUGGAAGGGUUGGGCACAAGAGGAGCUCCCCAAGACAGGUGCUCCCUGGUCUCUAGCCCUCUUUAUGGAGAGAUAGUGCACCCAGUACCUCCUUAAGACAAAUACUCCCCACCACCCAGCCUCUUGUCUGGCACCGGAGCAGAAUUGUCAGGGAGUGUGAGUAAGCAGCCGGCAAGAACCCUCACUGUCUGGAGGCAUAUCCACACCUGAAAUCUCUUAUCAGAGAACAUUGAGGUUUACUGCAACUGAAGGGCCUUGUGCUGGUAUCAGAGUGCUGCCUUUCUAACAUAAUCACUUCUCUCUUGUACCUUCUAGAUGUCUAAGUAGGAAGAUCUUCAUAAAUAUUUCGCACACCAUGUUAGAACCUUUAAAUCUGUUUGAACUGGAUUCUUGUUAGGAAGAAAUUCAUUUCUAAUUUAAUUUUAAUUUUUUUGGCAUGUUUACUCCAUCAAACAAUUAUCCUGCCUAACAAAUUAUGUAAAAAAAAAAAGUUAAAAAUAAGGGAGUCACAUGACCUUUGAAGUUAGAAAAUAAAUCAGAGAAGAAUAAAAAGGGGAAUGAAUUGUUCUAAGUAUAUCAGAAAGGCUUUAUGUGUUCAGAAACUCAUUUACUUUUCUCCAAAUCAAUAUGCAGUGCUCAGCACAGAGAACUAUCAGAGAACUAUUGAAUAUAAAGCACAGAAGAUAACAGCAGUGAUUACAACAUGCAAUUGUGCAGCUGUGAUAUCAUCCCCUCCCGCUCCACUGGGUCCUCCCCAUCAGAUUGGUUGCUAUGUUAAUAUUUUAGGCUUAAAGGACCAGAAUUAAUUCAUUCAGUCUUAUCUCUGAUGCGUUGGUUUUCUGUCAAAAAUUCCUGACAGAAUUAACAGUCAAAAUGAAGCAGGAUAAUUGGAGACGGAGCCAUGCAGCCGAUCAUGCCAUCCUUGGAAUUAUUGGGCACACCAUCAUCUCUUGCUUGGAUUCAGGAUCUUGGCGAUUUGUUCAUGUGUGGAUGUGAUGGAACUGAAGUCGCUAGGUUCAUGCUACCUGGAACAUGAGACUGACAAAUAGAGGAGCACUGAGUCAAAUGAAUCUCGGAGAAAUGGAGCUGGAAGAAAACUGGAGUAAGCCUGUCCCUGAAAGGGCACUACAUUUGGAUAUCCAGCAGUGGGACUCAAUAUUUUUUCUUGUUGUUUAAUCUCAUUUCUGUUACUUGCAGCCAAAGGCUCUUAAUGAGAAAAUGGCUCUACCUAGUUUUCUGAAAUUGCCUCAGUCUCUCCACUCUUCCCUAUUACAAAGGUCAUCUCUUUAAUUCACAUCCAAUAACUGAUAGUCUCUUGACUAAUCUACAUCCUCUCAUUCUCUCCUAAUUCACCUUUCAUACUGUUGCCAGGUGACUUUUCCUAAAAGACAACUUUCAUGAUGUCACUCUACUUCAUAAAUUCUUAUAAUGGUUUCUUUUUGCUUUUAGUCCAAACUCCUCAGGUUCGUUUUCAAGGCUUUUCAUAAUUGAAUUUCUUUUAUAUACCUAAGAUGAUUUCUCUGUGUUCCCAAAUGUACAAUUGACAGUCCUUCCUCCUGAUGUUCUCUCCAGUAGGAAAUGUUUGCUCUAUGUAAAUUCAGUAUAGCUUUUAGUCUCUAUUCAAGUUCUACCUUCUUCAUAAACUUCUCCUGAAUAGAAUCAGCCUAUAACCAUUUAAACUGUCUUUAUUAGGUGCACACUAUGUGCCAGGUACUCAACAAGGCAGUGGAACUAUGAAGACAGAUAAUCACAGUCCCUCUUGCCUCUGGGAGCAGGCAGUUGAAUGCAAUGCUUUUUAAAGUUUUAAGUAACGUGGUCAUGCAAAAUCUUAUAGAUAUACAUUUGAAUGUACAGAGUUUAAUUACCAAGCUAGUGAGACUUAAUGUUUCAAUUAAUAAAAAGUUUGGAAUCAAGGUA
RNAcentral lists this long non-coding RNA (2268 nucleotides) under Homo sapiens (human). Its description in RNAcentral is "uncharacterized LOC105375924, transcript variant 2 (LOC105375924)". Lineage: Eukaryota; Metazoa; Chordata; Mammalia; Primates; Hominidae. The record is from RNAcentral.